UCCUAUGUUUAGUGCUGACUCCUAAAGCAUGUGACUCUUAAGAGGAUCAUGCGACUGAGAUGUUUCCUUAUAUAUUAUUGAAAGUUCAAGGCGGAGAUGAGGUUCAGAUCAAGUCGUGGGAGGACUCGUGGAUUCUGAAUUAACCUCUUUGUGAGGUUCAAAAUGGUGAUUAUGGAUGUAUAAGCUACACUUGGGGCAAUAUUCAGUUGAUAUCUUCUCA
This is a long non-coding RNA of Lolium rigidum, 220 nucleotides long. RefSeq lists it as uncharacterized. The transcript has 2 exons. Lineage: Eukaryota; Viridiplantae; Streptophyta; Magnoliopsida; Poales; Poaceae. The record is from RefSeq and is a predicted model, not a curated record.